UGGGGAAUUUUGGACAAUGGGGGCAACCCUGAUCCAGCCAUGCCGCGUGAGUGAAGAAGGCCUUCGGGUUGUAAAGCUCUUUCGGCCGGGAAGAUAUCGCACGGGCUAAUACCUUGUGCGGAUGACGGUACCAUCAGAAGAAGCACCGGCUAACUACGUGCCAGCAGCCGCGGUAAUACGUAGGGUUCGAGCGUUAAUCGGAAUUACUGGGCGUAAAGCGUGCGCAGGCGGUUAUGUAAGACAGAUGUGAAAUCCCCGGGCUCAACCUGGGAACUGCGUUUGUGACUGCAUAACUAGAGUACGGCAGAGGGAGGUGGAAUUCCGCGUGUAGCAGUGAAAUGCGUAGAGAUGUGGAGGAACACCGAUGGCGAAGGCAGCCCCCUGGGAUAACACUGACGCUCAUGCACGAAAGCGUGGGGAGCAAACA
RNAcentral lists this ribosomal RNA (427 nucleotides) under uncultured bacterium. Its description in RNAcentral is "bacterial SSU rRNA". It matches the Rfam family "Bacterial small subunit ribosomal RNA", at positions 355 to 774 of the family's 1533-position model. The record is from RNAcentral.